Molecule: unclassified non-coding RNA, 1479 nt
Filed under: Hevea brasiliensis (rubber tree)
Lineage: Eukaryota; Viridiplantae; Streptophyta; Magnoliopsida; Malpighiales; Euphorbiaceae
Source: RNAcentral
ACCUUCGAUUCUUAGCGGUGAAAAUGGUAAAGUGUUUCUCUCUCAUCGUCGCUCUCUCUCUCCUCGCCGUAUCGGCGAUUGGCGCCGAGGUCUUCUCCGGUGAAUCGGACGGAGAUUUUGUUAUCCGUCAGGUUGUUGACGACGGAGGAGUCAACGGAGGAAGUAACGGCGACGAUCUGCUACUCGGAGCCGAGCACCACUUUUCGCUCUUUAAGCGAAAGUUUGGGAAGUCGUACGCUUCCAAGGAGGAGCAUGAUCACCGGUUCAGGGUAUUCAAAGCCAACCUGAGGCGCGCUCAACGCCACCAGGCCCUUGAUCCCUCUGCUACUCAUGGCGUCACUCAGUUCUCUGAUUUGACUCCAUCGGAGUUCCGAAGAUCGUUUCUAGGGCUUAGAGGUCGUCGUCUUGGACUCCCUGCGGAUGCUAACAAGGCCCCCAUUCUUCCUACCGAUGGUCUUCCAACUGAUUUCGAUUGGAGAGAUCAUGGCGCCGUAACGGAAGUCAAGAAUCAGGGUUCGUGUGGAUCCUGCUGGAGUUUCAGUACAACCGGUGCUCUUGAAGGCGCUAACUUCCUUGCUACCGGAAAACUUGUUAGCCUUAGCGAACAACAGCUUGUAGAUUGUGAUCACGAGUGUGAUCCAGAAGAAAAAGAUUCCUGUGAUUCUGGCUGCAAUGGAGGGCUAAUGAAUAGUGCAUUCGAGUACACAUUGAAAGCCGGUGGACUUAUGAAAGAGAACGACUACCCAUACACUGGUACAGAUCGUGGAACCUGCAAAUUUGACAAGAGCAAAAUUGCUGCAUCAGUAGCCAACUUUAGUGUUGUCUCUCUUGAUGAAGAACAAAUUGCUGCCAAUCUCGUGAAGAAUGGCCCUCUUGCAAUUGCUAUCAAUGCUGUAUUCAUGCAAACAUAUAUAGGAGGGGUUUCUUGCCCUUACAUUUGCUCAAAGCAUUUGGAUCAUGGAGUUCUGUUGGUUGGUUAUGGAUCUGGUGCCUAUGCUCCCAUCCGAUUGAAAGAGAAACCAUACUGGAUCAUUAAGAACUCCUGGGGAGCCAACUGGGGGGAGAAUGGAUACUAUAAAAUCUGCAGGGGCCGGAAUAUCUGUGGAGUCGACUCCAUGGUGUCGACAGUCGCUGCAGUUCAUACCGCUGCGAAUUAAUUUACGAUCUAAAACAGCUGGAGAUCAUUCUCACUUCUAUAAUUCCUGUAUAUAUUGCUGCAAUAUUAUCACUCUAUGGUAGGAAGUUGUUAAGUUCCAUUUCAAGCAUAGGAUGUCUCUUAAAAAGUAGAAUUUGAACUCUCUAUUUUAUAUAUUAUGCAUAUAUUUAUAUUUAGUUCAAAAUAUUGUGGGGAAGGUUUGCUUGUAAGCAAAAAACAAGAAUCUGUUUAUGGACUUUGGGUUGGCUCACCUACUCAGUUUGAUGUAUAUGAUGCCAAUGAAAAAUUCUCCCAAUGUAAAUUUCAACAUCGAUGGCCAAAAG